AUCCUCUUGUAGUUCAUAAGCAUGAAGACUGGGUUUUCAUGCUCAUGUGCGAGAUACGCCUCCUUCAAACCUUGUAAUAGCACAUUAUCUUUCUGACA
This is a small nucleolar RNA of Callithrix jacchus (white-tufted-ear marmoset), 98 nucleotides long. The record is from Ensembl. NCBI's taxonomy places the organism in Eukaryota, Metazoa, Chordata, Mammalia, Primates, Cebidae.